UUGCCCUAGUAACGGCGAGUGAAGCGGCAACAGCUCAAAUUUGAAAUCUGGCUCUCUUUGGGGGUCCGAGUUGUAAUUUGCAGAGGGUGCUUUGGCGUCGGCAGCGGUCUAAGUUCCUUGGAACAGGACAUCACAGAGGGUGAGAAUCCCGUACGUGGUCGCCUGCCUUCGCCGUGUAAAGCCCCUUCGACGAGUCGAGUUGUUUGGGAAUGCAGCUCUAAAUGGGAGGUAAAUUUCUUCUAAAGCUAAAUACUGGCCAGAGACCGAUAGCGCACAAGUAGAGUGAUCGAAAGAUGAAAAGCACUUUGGAAAGAGAGUCAAACAGCACGUGAAAUUGUUGAAAGGGAAGCGCUUGCAGCCAGACUUGCCCGCAGUUGCUCACCCGGGUACGCCCGGGGCACUCUUCUGCGGGCAGGCCAGCAUCAGUUUGGGCGACCGGAUAAAGGCCUCUGUCAUGUAUCUUCCUUCGGGAUGACCUUAUAGGGGAGGCGUAAUGCGGCCAGCCCGGACUGAGGUCCGCGCAUCUGCUAGGAUGCUGGCGUAAUGGCUGUAAGCGGCCCGUCUUGAAACACGGACCAAGGAGUCUAACAUCUAUGCGAGUGUUUGGGUGUCAAGCCCGGGCGCGUAAUGAAAGUGAACGGAGGUGGGAACCCUCUCCGGGGGGUGCACCAUCGACCGAUCCUGAUGUCUUCGGAUGGAUUUGAGUAAGAGCAUAGCUGUUGGGACCCGAAAGAUGGUGAACUAUGCUUGAAUAGGGUGAAGCCAGAGGAAACUCUGGUGGAGGCUCGCAGCGGUUCUGACGUGCAAAUCGAUCGUCAAAUUUGGGCAUAGGGCGAAAGACUAAUCGAACUAUCUAGUAGCUGGUCUGCG
This 870-nucleotide ribosomal RNA is filed under the name Keissleriella quadriseptata. RNAcentral's name for it is "LSU rRNA". It matches the Rfam family "Eukaryotic large subunit ribosomal RNA", at positions 75 to 960 of the family's 3401-position model. The record is from RNAcentral. Lineage: Eukaryota; Fungi; Ascomycota; Dothideomycetes; Pleosporales; Lentitheciaceae.